GGGAAUCUGCCCUUGGGUCUGGAAUAACAGUUAGAAAUGACUGCUAAUACCGGAUGAUGACUUCGGUCCAAAGAUUUAUCGCCCAAGGAUGAGCCCGCGUCGGAUUAGCUAGUUGGUGAGGUAAAAGCUCACCAAGGCGACGAUCCGUAGCUGGUCUGAGAGGAUGAUCAGCCACACUGGGACUGAGACACGGCUCAGACUCCUACGGGAGGCAGCAGUGGGGAAUAUUGGACAAUGGGCGAAAGCCUGAUCCAGCAAUGCCGCGUGAGUGAUGAAGGCCUUAGGGUUGUAAAGCUCUUUUACCCGGGAUGAUAAUGACAGUACCGGGAGAAUAAGCCCCGGCUAACUCCGUGCCAGCAGCCGCGGUAAUACGGAGGGGGCUAGCGUUGUUCGGAAUUACUGGGCGUAAAGCGCACGUAGGCGGCUUUGUAAGUUAGAGGUGAAAGCCCGGGGCUCAACUCCGGAAUUGCCUUUAAGACUGCAUCGCUAGAAUUGUGGAGAGGUAAGUGGAAUUCCGAGU
Molecule: ribosomal RNA, 520 nt
Filed under: uncultured bacterium
Lineage: Bacteria
Description: bacterial SSU rRNA
Rfam family: Bacterial small subunit ribosomal RNA
Source: RNAcentral